CACGCAAGCUUGUCUCUCUACAUCAACAAGAAGGACACUUGCUGAAGUGUGUUGCUCCCAUAAAACAGCAAGAACCUAUUGGGAAGAGCCUCCACAGAGAAAUAGGCCAUAUCCAAGAAAAGAAGCAGAAUGGUAAAAGAGUUGAGGUGGGAGCCAGACAGCCUCUUCUUGUUUUCCAUAUGAGGUGGAAAGAGCUGAUCAUCUGACAAGAAAACCAGAAUACUUCUUGAAUAUUUGGCAAGCUCCAACUUCAAGCUCAUUGAUUUAGUCAAGAGCAAUUUCACUUCAAGAGCUUGAGAAAUGCCACCUUGAAAGGAAUAACUGAGUUCACAGUUUCUCUUCUGAAACUUCAUUUGCACUGUUAUCUUGCUAUGGUUGAGGGCUUACACCAAUAACCUAACCCCACCAAACUAAGUCAUGCAAAGAGUUUUGAAAUGAG
This 439-nucleotide long non-coding RNA is filed under the name Anser brachyrhynchus (Pink-footed goose). RNAcentral describes it as "lncRNA (ENSABRG00000007336.1)". Lineage: Eukaryota; Metazoa; Chordata; Aves; Anseriformes; Anatidae. The record is from RNAcentral.